This 235-nucleotide ribosomal RNA is filed under the name uncultured bacterium. RNAcentral's name for it is "partial 16S ribosomal RNA". It matches the Rfam family "Bacterial small subunit ribosomal RNA", at positions 102 to 334 of the family's 1533-position model. The record is from RNAcentral.
ACGGGUGAGUAACACGUAUGCAAUCCACCUGUAACAGGGGAGUAACCCGGAGAAAUCCGGACUAAUACCCAUAAUAUGGGCGCUCCGCAUGGAGAGUCCAUUAAAGAGAGCAAUCUUGGUUACAGACGAGCAUGCGCUCCAUUAGCCAGUUGGCGGGGUAACGGCCCACCAAGGCGACGAUGGAUAGGGGUUCUGAGAGGAAGGUCCCCCACAUUGGAACUGAGACACGGUCCAA